UAAUGUAUGGGGAUCUGCCCGAUAGAGGGGGGUAACUACUGGAAACGGUGGCUAAUACCGCAUAAUGUCUACGGACCAAAGCAGGGCUCUUCGGACCUUGCACUAUCGGAUGAACCCAUAUGGGAUUAGCUAGUAGGUGGGGUAAAGGCUCACCUAGGCGACGAUCUCUAGCUGGUCUGAGAGGAUGAUCAGCCACACUGGGACUGAGACACGGCCCAG
RNAcentral lists this ribosomal RNA (219 nucleotides) under uncultured bacterium. Its description in RNAcentral is "partial 16S ribosomal RNA". It matches the Rfam family "Bacterial small subunit ribosomal RNA", at positions 111 to 334 of the family's 1533-position model. The record is from RNAcentral.